This 451-nucleotide ribosomal RNA is filed under the name uncultured Fibrobacter sp. RNAcentral describes it as "bacterial SSU rRNA". It matches the Rfam family "Bacterial small subunit ribosomal RNA", at positions 341 to 792 of the family's 1533-position model. Lineage: Bacteria; Pseudomonadati; Fibrobacterota; Fibrobacteria; Fibrobacterales; Fibrobacteraceae. The record is from RNAcentral.
ACGGGAGGCAGCAGUGGGGAAUAUUGCACAAUGGGGGGAACCCUGAUGCAGCAACGCCACGUGUGGGAAGAAGCAUUUCGGUGUGUAAACCACUGUCGUGAGGGAAUAAUGCUUGGUCUCGGCCAAGUUGAAUGUACCUCGAAAGGAAGCACCGGCAAACUUCGUGCCAGCAGCCGCGGUAAUACGAGGGGUGCAAGCGUUGUUCGGAAUCACUGGGCGUAAAGGGAGCGUAGGCGGAGACGCAAGCAGUCUGUACAAUACCGGGGCCCAACCCCGGACCUGCAGUCUGGACUGUGUCUCUUGGAUAGUUCAGGGGCAGGCGGAAUUCCUGGUGUAGCGGUGGAAUGCGUAGAGAUCAGGAAGAACACCGAUGGCGAAGGCAGCCUGCUAGGGACUCAUCGACGCUGAGGCUCGAAAGUGCGGGGAGCAAACAGGAUUAGAUACCCUGGUA